Long non-coding RNA from Drosophila mojavensis, 357 nucleotides. RefSeq lists it as uncharacterized. The transcript has 2 exons. The record is from RefSeq and is a predicted model, not a curated record. Lineage: Eukaryota; Metazoa; Arthropoda; Insecta; Diptera; Drosophilidae.
GGAGCGCUUAACUUACAUUAUUAUUUGAAGUCUUAGCAUAUAGAUAUACAUAUAUGCUAUAUACUCAUAUGUCUUAGGUUCUGGUGAAAUUUUGAAUAUAUACAUAUAUUGGCUGGGCGUACCUUCUAAGAUUUUGAAGCCAGAGAAUUAAAAACUCAAAAAAAGUUUUUACAACGUCAUAUGGUAUAUCAAAACGCUGUAUUGGUGUGCUUUGAAGAUGGCUAAAAGAAACCAAAGGAGUUCUCACGCUUAUAGAAGAGUUUUCCGGAGAAAUGUCUAAAUGAAAACAAUGUGCAGUUACCUUUGUUAUUGCAGAUUGCAAAGCGAAAUUAAUAAACAUUAUGAAUACAUGCAUUA